GCCCGUUUAGCACAGUGGUAGUGCGUUCCACUCGUAAUGGAAAGGUCGCUCGUUCAAUCCGGGCAGGGGGCA
RNAcentral lists this transfer RNA (72 nucleotides) under Sphaerobolus stellatus SS14. Its description in RNAcentral is "tRNA-Thr (CGT) (tRNA-Thr-CGT-2 1 to 3)". It matches the Rfam family "tRNA". Rfam says of the family: Transfer RNA (tRNA) molecules are approximately 80 nucleotides in length. Their secondary structure includes four short double-helical elements and three loops (D, anti-codon, and T loops). Lineage: Eukaryota; Fungi; Basidiomycota; Agaricomycetes; Geastrales; Sphaerobolaceae. The record is from RNAcentral.